RNAcentral lists this ribosomal RNA (253 nucleotides) under uncultured bacterium. RNAcentral describes it as "partial 16S ribosomal RNA". It matches the Rfam family "Bacterial small subunit ribosomal RNA", at positions 524 to 776 of the family's 1533-position model. The record is from RNAcentral.
UACGUAGGGGGCAAGCGUUAUCCGGAUUUACUGGGUGUAAAGGGAGCGUAGACGGCGAUGCAAGCCAGAUGUGAAAGCCCGGGGCUCAACCCCGGGACUGCAUUUGGAACUGUAUAGCUAGAGUGUCGGAGAGGCAGGCGGAAUUCCUAGUGUAGCGGUGAAAUGCGUAGAUAUUAGGAGGAACACCAGUGGCGAAGGCGGCCUGCUGGACGAUGACUGACGUUGAGGCUCGAAAGCGUGGGUAGCAAACAGG